RNAcentral lists this ribosomal RNA (261 nucleotides) under marine sediment bacterium BB0608_2216_1.2_11G0. RNAcentral describes it as "partial 16S ribosomal RNA". It matches the Rfam family "Bacterial small subunit ribosomal RNA", at positions 78 to 342 of the family's 1533-position model. The record is from RNAcentral.
UUGCUAGGAGGCGUCGAGCGGCGGACGGGUGAGUAAUGCAUAGGAAUCUGCCCGGUAGUGGGGGAUAACCUGGGGAAACCCAGGCUAAUACCGCAUACGCCCUACGGGGGAAAGCAGGGGAUCUUCGGACCUUGCGCUAUCGGAUGAGCCUAUGUCGGAUUAGCUUGUUGGUGAGGUAAUGGCUCACCAAGGCGACGAUCCGUAGCUGGUCUGAGAGGAUGAUCAGCCACAUCGGGACUGAGACACGGCCCGAACUCCUAC